GAAGCUUGCUUCUCUGAUGUUAGCGGCGGACGGGUGAGUAACACGUGGAUAACCUACCUAUAAGACUGGGAUAACUUCGGGAAACCGGAGCUAAUACCGGAUAAUAUUUUGAACCGCAUGGUUCAAAAGUGAAAGACGGUCUUGCUGUCACUUAUAGAUGGAUCCGCGCUGCAUUAGCUAGUUGGUAAGGUAACGGCUUACCAAGGCAACGAUGCAUAGCCGACCUGAGAGGGUGAUCGGCCACACUGGAACUGAGACACGGUCCAGACUCCUACGGGAGGCAGCAGUAGGGAAUCUUCCGCAAUGGGCGAAAGCCUGACGGAGCAACGCCGCGUGAGUGAUGAAGGUCUUCGGAUCGUAAAACUCUGUUAUUAGGGAAGAACAUAUGUGUAAGUAACUGUGCACAUCUUGACGGUACCUAAUCAGAAAGCCACGGCUAACUACGUGCCAGCAGCCGCGGUAAUACGUAGGUGGCAAGCGUUAUCCGGAAUUAUUGGGCGUAAAGCGCGCGUAGGCGGUUUUUUAAGUCUGAUGUGAAAGCCCACGGCUCAACCGUGGAGGGUCAUUGGAAACUGGAAAACUUGAGUGCAGAAGAGGAAAGUGGAAUUCCAUGUGUAGCGGUGAAAUGCGCAGAGAUAUGGAGGAACACCAGUGGCGAAGGCGACUUUCUGGUCUGUAACUGACGCUGAUGUGCGAAAGCGUGGGGAUCAAACAGGAUUAGAUACCCUGGUAGUCCACGCCGUAAACGAUGAGUGCUAAGUGUUAGGGGGUUUCCGCCCCUUAGUGCUGCAGCUAACGCAUUAAGCACUCCGCCUGGGGAGUACGACCGCAAGGUUGAAACUCAAAGGAAUUGACGGGGACCCGCACAAGCGGUGGAGCAUGUGGUUUAAUUCGAAGCAACGCGAAGAACCUUACCAAAUCUUGACAU
RNAcentral lists this ribosomal RNA (928 nucleotides) under Staphylococcus aureus. RNAcentral describes it as "bacterial SSU rRNA". It matches the Rfam family "Bacterial small subunit ribosomal RNA", at positions 75 to 987 of the family's 1533-position model. Lineage: Bacteria; Bacillati; Bacillota; Bacilli; Caryophanales; Staphylococcaceae. The record is from RNAcentral.